This is an RNA transcript of Oncorhynchus masou masou (cherry salmon), 4944 nucleotides long. It is a transcript of the gene named tumor necrosis factor receptor superfamily member 14-like, with no coding region annotated. The transcript is spliced from 6 exons. Lineage: Eukaryota; Metazoa; Chordata; Actinopteri; Salmoniformes; Salmonidae. The record is from RefSeq and is a predicted model, not a curated record.
UUCUAAACAUUGAACCCUGUUCCACAUAUGAUCCAGCCAUCUAUAAAAUAGGUGAUAUAUAUUGCAGAAUGUGUAGGCCUGGAUAUCAUGUACAUAGUCAUUGUACUAAAUCUACAUUCACCUCCUGUGUGCCCUGUAUUGACUCCACCUUCCUUGAUGAGCCCAGUGGUAAAACAACAUGCAACAACUGUACCACAUGUGAUCCAGGUUUGGGUUUGAAGGUAAAGCAGCCAUGUACACCUUCAUCAGACACUGUCUGUGGGACACUGGAGGGGUUCUACUGUCUAGACCCAACUAAGGAUGGUUGUAGAGCAGCCCAGAGACACAGCAGCUGUAAACCUGGUCAAUACAUCAACCACACAGGAACAACAUCUACAGAUACUGUGUGUUCUGACUGUACUGGUGACACCUAUUCAGAUGGAUCAUUAGCAGCCUGCCAGCCACACACACAAUGUGAUACCUUGAAGCUUCAGCAAAUUAAACCUGGAACUCAUUGGUCCGACUCUGAAUGUGGACCACAAAUCUCACCUAUAGCUACAUUAAUAUUUGCUGUGGUGUUGGGGGUACUCGCUGUGAUAGCAGCCGUGACGACGGCAGCUAUUAUGAAAAGAAGAAGAAGAAAACACCAAAGAUCCUGUAACUCGUGAGAUUAUUUUGGGGGAAUUGUACAUUUAUUGUUUAAGAGAAAUAUCACUAAAUCAAAUGUUAUUUUAUCACAUGCGGUGAAUACAACAGGUGUAACUAACGAGCCCUGUCAGACGAUGCAGGUAAAAAAAUAAAUACAAAUAGUAACACGAGGAUUCAAAUAAAACACACAAGAAAGGAGCUGCAUCGUUCCCCAAUACCUCCAGCAGCCCAAGAGAGUUGAGACCAUGUAUGAACCUGUUAUGGUAUAGAGACCGUAUAAAUAUUAAACAAAUAAGUGUUAAGGACAAUAUAGUGAUGUGUAUUGAUUAAGGGGGGGGGACUGAUUAAAAAUAAUCAUGUUAGAGGAGGUUUAUGACAAGUACUUCACAGAUUUAUGACAGAGUUGACUUACUGCUCCAAGGCCACCUGCAGGCUCCCUCGGACAAAUUGUUGAGCCACCAAUUCAAUCACACCAUCCCUGUCCUCCAUUGUCUUGACAACAAUCCUUUUCAGCCCCAAUAGGCUCAGCCAGUCUACCAAUUCCUCCAAUUUGUUCUUCACCUCGGAAAGGUCCUCUGCUUUUUUUGAUCUAGAAUUUUUUUUUUAAAUGUAUGACAGGCAAUCGAGAAUUUUAAAAACAUCAAAAGAAACCAUACAUGUAAAAAAUGAUGAUCUAUUAUUUUCCUGUUGCUGUUAGGGAGGAUAUAAAACUCACAUUUUCCAAUAAGCUUUCAGAGUAGUGUGGUUCACCUCCAGACUGAGUGGAGGAGCAGGCGUCCCACACACUGCUGCUCAGAGAAGAAGUGUGGCCCAACCCCUCCAAGGACCACACACACACACACGGAUCAUUUUCCCAAUGGUUCCAUACAGGCCCUCAUGUGAUGCUAAAAAAUAUUAUUUCAAAUGUGUGCCAGCUUUACUAUCCCUAUGAUAUAUUGCCCUGGACAAAGCACUUGAAAAAGCCUCUUCACAAAAUGUUUUGGCUAAAAUUCUGUAUUUGACAAUGAAAAUCAGACCUUAAUAUGGGUAAAAAGAAACGAGAAGGCUUACCAUGGACAUCAAGCGGCAUACGUUUAGCUCCUUCCGGACCCUCAAAGAUGGCCGAUCCUCUGAUGUCCCUCACGAGGAGAUGUAAUACUCCCUGGAGGGACCCCAUUGGUCAACUGCCCCCUCCACCUUGGACUCAGCGUCCACAAAGACAACGUCCAUCUUAGCCCCAUGCAUUAAAGUUUUUGUUUUGAAAUGCAUGCAGGCUACUGUUUAGGACGUUGCCCCUGUGGACAUUUAUCAUGUUGGCAAUGGGGCAGUUGUCCUGGUCCACUCAGCUCCAGAGCGUACGUAAAAUGGGGAAAGGGGGGUACCUAGUCAGUUGUACAACUGAAUGCCUUCAACUUAAAUGUGUCUUCAGCAUUUAACCCCUUAAUCGACAUCCAGGUCUUCGGCCCCCGGGGAACAGUGGGUUAACUGCCUUGCUUAGGGGUAGAACGACAGAUUUUUACCUUGUCAACUCGGGGAUUCAAUCAUGGCAGUCUGUAAAGCCAUGUUCACAUUGGCAGUUUGAGGUGAGUUACUCAUUUUGGGGGGUAAUUUCCAAUUAGAAUCUUAUGUUUCUUGCAGCCUUAACAUCCAAAAAGCACAUGGUAUCAGAUAUUUCAAACCACCUUUGUAGCAUCCAAUUUCCAUGGCAUUUUGGAAUGUUUUAUCAACUGAUGCUGGAUUGCCAUGGUAAUGUAGAUCGUUAAUUCAAAUAAUGCUAACUGAUGUGACUCAUGCAAUGGAAUUUAUUUAUUUGUAAAAUGGCUGCAAUUCCACCCAUUAUUCCAUCAUUGACUUGAAUGGAAACGCCCUUUCUAUCCGUUCUUAUUUAUAUGGCGCACACGCCUGUCAUUACCAUGAUAAAUAGUGUAGCCAUGUCGGCAAAUGACAGCUUUCUGACUCUAAACACAUACGAAUCAGUCAUUUGUAACUUUGUUUGGACAGUCAGUGUUCCAAAAACGUAUUAAUCGUCAUGCCACACCCUUGACAAUGACAUUAGAGUUGACAAUAGCACAAACCGACAGGAAAUUAUAAUUAAAACGGUAAUUAUAACUAACUUUCCCCCACUAAUAAGUGGAAAUCUACUGGACAACAGCGAUCUGGACGUCAAGUGUUUCUACACUAAAAGUCCAAGCUGCAUCCACCCUUGCCAAGUUUGACUUAAAGAGCGACCUUGUAACCUCACUUGUGUACAGGGUUGGGGAGUAAUGUAAGGAAUUACAAAAAACGGUAACUAAGCUGUUACGUUACAAACAAAAAUGUUGUAAUCAGAUUACAGAUUUUUGAAAAACCUAUAUUACUUGAAGGAUUACUUUUAAAUUCAGAAAUUAACUUUUAGUUUGUCAAAAAUAUAUAUAUUUUGACACUUCUGUUUUCUCGACAUUCCAAAUCAGCAUUGAAAAAGACGCAAGUUCAAGUUUGUUCCACCUGAGCGAGUCUGACCACAAAUCAGAGACCACUGAUGACACACAAACUGUUUGAUGGAUCUUGGGAAAAGAGCAGCAAUAGGCUUUUGUAGACUACAGUCCAAGCGAUGUCUUCUAAUGGUGCCACUGCUGUCAGCAUCCAAAGCUUGUCCAACUUGAAUAAAUGCUUGAAGAUCACAUGUAACCACGCGAGCCUAGGAUCUCCACAUCCAGCUUCUCCACAUGCGGGAUCAUCUGAGAUGAGCCACCCUGACAGCUGAUGAAACUCUGGGUUUGCACAAUCAAAGAAUUUCUGCAUAACCUGUCAGAAACCGUCUCAGGGAGGCUCAUCACUACUUUCAUUUAUGAGGAGCUGUCUCUCUAUACUACUGGCAUACAGCUCUGACACCCAUGCAUACCCCACAAGACGUGCCACAAGAGGUCUCUUCACAGUCCCCAAGUCCAGAACAGACUAUGGGAGGCACACAGUACUACAUAGAGCCAUAACUACAUGGAACUAUAUUCCACAUCAAGUAACUGAUGCAAGCAGUAAAAUUAGAUUUAAAAAAUAUGAAGAAAAAAAACAACACCUUAUGGAACAGCGGGGACUGUGAAGCAUCACAAACAUUGGCACAGACACACGAUAAUAUAUGCACUAUACAAACACAUGGGUUUAGUACUGUAGAUAUGUGGCGGAGUAGGGGCCUGAGGGCACACAGUGUGUUGUGAAAUCUGUGAAGAUAUUGUAAUGUUUUUAAAAUUGUAUAAACUGCUUUCAUUUUGCUGGACCCCAGAAAGAAUAGCAGCUAAUGGGGAUCCAUAAUAUAGACAAAUACAUCUGCAUGCUCGUUGUCCUCACCUGUGUCUUGACCUGACUGCAGUUUGGCGUUGUAACCGACUUCAGUGGUGAAGUCUGCUUUUCACAGAUGAAUCCUGGUUUCAACUGUACCGGGCAGAUGGCAGACAGCGUGUAUGGCGUCGUGCGGGCAAGCAAUUUGCUGAUGUCAACAUUGUGAAGAGAGCGCCACAUGGUGGCGAUGGGGUUAUGGUAUGGGCAGGCAUAAUCUACCCACAUGAUUGCAAUUUUAAUGCACACAUACCGUGACGAGAUCCUGAGGCCCAUUGUCAUGCCAUUCACCCUCCGCUAUCACCUCAUGUUUCAGCACACUGUCUGCCAUCUGCUUGGUUAUUACUGCAUUGUCGGAACUAGAAGCACAAGCAUUUCGCUACACUCGCAUUAACAUCUGCUAACCAUGUGUAUGUGACAAAUAUAUAUAUAUAUAUAUUUGAUUUGAUAAUGCAUGGCUACCCAUGCUAGAUUACGGAGACAUAAUUUAUAGAUCGGCAGGUAAGGGUGCUCUCAAGCGGCUAGAUGUUCUUUACCAUUCUGCCAUCAGAUUUGCCUGCACGCUCCUCUUUUCAGUUUGCUGCAGCUCGCGACUGGAACGAGCUGCAACAAACACUCAAAUUGGACAUUUUUAUCUCAAUCUCUUCAUUCAAAGACUCAAUCAUGUACACUCUUACUGACAGUUGUGGCUGCUUUGUGUGAUGUAUUGUUGUCUUCCUUCUUGACCUUUUGUGCUGUUGACUGUGCCCAAUAAUAUUUGUACCAUAUUUUGUGCUGCUACCAUGUUAUAUUGGGUUGCUACCAUGCUGUUUUGUCAUGUGUUGCUGCCUUGUUAUGUUGUUGUCUUAGGUCUCUCUUUAUGUAGCGUUGUCUAUCUUGUAGUGAUGUGUUUUGUCCUAUAUUUAUAUUGUAUUUAUAUUUAAUCCCAGCCCCGUCCCCGCAGGAGGCCUUUUGGUAGGCCGUCAUUGUAAAUAAGAAUUUGUUCUUAACUGACUUGCCUAGUUAGAUAAAUAAAAAAUAGCCCCAUGU